AAGGAAAUCAAUUUAGGCUGCUAACCUAAUAAAGCCCUUAUGCUAUUCCUUU
This 52-nucleotide transfer RNA is filed under the name Songthela hangzhouensis. RNAcentral's name for it is "tRNA-Ser". The record is from RNAcentral. Lineage: Eukaryota; Metazoa; Arthropoda; Arachnida; Araneae; Liphistiidae.